GACGAACGCUGGCGGCGUGCUUAACACAUGCAAGUCGAACGGAAAGGCCUGCUUUCCCUUGUGGAUUGCGGGUACUCGAGUGGCGAACGGGUGAGUAACACGCGAGUGAUCUGCCCCCAACUUGGGUCUAAGCCUGGGAAACUGGGUCUAAUUCCCGAUAGGACUGCAGGGUGGUGCCUGUGGUGGCAAACGUUUUUCUAGUGGUUGGGGAUGAGCUGGAGGCCUAUCGGCUUGGUGGUGGGGUAAUGGACGACCACGGCGGCGACGCGUAGCCGGACUGGGAGGGGGGACGGCGACAUUGGGACUGGGACACGGCCCAGACGGCUACGGGAGGCAGCAGUGGGGAAGAAUGCGCAGUGGGCGGAAGGCUGAUGCAGCGAGGGAGCGUGGGGGAUGACGGGCUUCGGGUUGUAAGCUCCUUGCGAACGAGAGGAAGCCACCUGGUUGGAAGGGUGGUGACGGUAGUGGUAGAAGAAGCACCGGCUAACUACGUG
This 494-nucleotide ribosomal RNA is filed under the name uncultured bacterium. RNAcentral's name for it is "partial 16S ribosomal RNA". It matches the Rfam family "Bacterial small subunit ribosomal RNA", at positions 28 to 507 of the family's 1533-position model. The record is from RNAcentral.